Molecule: non-coding RNA, 796 nt
Organism: Equus caballus (horse)
Lineage: Eukaryota; Metazoa; Chordata; Mammalia; Perissodactyla; Equidae
Source: RefSeq, a predicted model, not a curated record
AAGUGGCACUACCGGGGCCCCCAAGAUGGUGGAGCACUCCCCAGGCCAGCUAUGGUCUGGGUUUCGUGGCCAGUGGAAGGCAGUGGGUGGCCUUGACCGAAUCAGACAUCUUCUGGAACACGACUGACACUGCUUGGGUGAAGGCAGCCUGGACCCUCUUCUCCGCCUGGCCUAAUGGAUCUUGCAUUUUUGUGCAUGAACUUCCCCGAGUUGAUGCCAAGGUUAUCCUGAAGACUCUCUCCAGGCUCCCAAUCACCACCCUCUGCUGUGUCCCCACCCUCUUCCGGCUGCUUGUUCAAGAGGAUCUGACCAGCAUACACACCGAUAUCCUUGGCAGACAGCCCUCAACAGUGAACUUCUGGCCCCUAGGAAUUUGCAUCCAGGUGGAACUGAAUAGAUAUGAGACAGUCUGAAAUUUCAGCGCUUGAGCCCCAGACUAACUCCAGCCAGCCAUUCUCUGAGUGAAUGCCACUGAACACUCAACAGAAGGGGACAAGACACUGUGGAUGGCUUCCAUUCUGGGUGAAUCCAAAGGAACAUCUUCUGGCAGGACAAGUGUAGUUGCUGGCGUAUGUGGAGAGAGACCUGACACCCUUGAGAAUCCUACCUGGUAGGAUGGACCCUGGUCUAUGACUCCUUCUUCUGUCCUCUCCCAAGUCUUGGGGAGUUGUCCCUGCCCUCCCCUCAUCUUCCCUAAUCCCAUGUAUCUGGCCAAGAAGUGUCUAAGAGAGUGUGUUCUUACAGGAUUGUCUCAAGGUGAAUUUUUCUAUAAUAUGAGAAUUUAUCCAUUCACUGA